UUAACAAAAAAUUAAGAACUGCAGUUAAUCUUUCAGUUUUCAACCAAACAGUUUGUCUAAUGGCCGAUUUCCUUACAAAUUAGGGGGAGGGAAGGACUAGGUAAACAAGCAGGUUACAAGAAUAUACUUCCUCUUUUUUUGGGAUGGAGUCUCGCUCUGUUGCCCAGGCUGGAUUGCAGUGGGGGCAAUCUCGGCUCACUGCAGCCUCUGCCUCCCAGGUUCAAGCAAUUCUCCUGCCUCAGCCUCCUGAGUAGCUGGGAUUAUAGGCGAGCGCCACCACGCCCAGCUAAUUUUUGUAUUUUUAUUUUUAUUUUAAUUAUUUAUUUAUUUGUGAGACGGAGUCUCACUCUGUUGCCCAGCCUGGGCAACAGAGCAAGACUCCGUCUCAAAAAUAAAUAAAU
Molecule: long non-coding RNA, 401 nt
Filed under: Homo sapiens (human)
Lineage: Eukaryota; Metazoa; Chordata; Mammalia; Primates; Hominidae
Description: HSALNT0196228
Source: RNAcentral